CCUACGGGAGGCAGCAGGGAGGAAUAUUGGUCAAUGGGCGGAAGCCUGAACCAGCCAAGUCGCGGGAGGGAAGACGGCCCUAUGGGUUGUAAACCUCUUUUGUCAGGGAGCAAGGCCGGCUACGUGUAGCCGGACCGAGAGUACCUGAAGAAAAAGCAGCGGCGAACUCCGUGCCAGCAGCCGCGGUAAUACGGAGGAUGCGAGCGUUAUCCGGAUUGAUUGGGUUGAAAGGGUGCGUAGGCGGAAUGCCAAGUCAGCGGUAAACUCGCGGGGCGCAACCCCGGUCCGCCGUUGAAACUGGCGUUCUUGCGUGGGCGAGAAGUCUGCGGUAUGCGUGGUGUAGCGGU
This 347-nucleotide ribosomal RNA is filed under the name uncultured bacterium. RNAcentral describes it as "partial 16S ribosomal RNA". It matches the Rfam family "Bacterial small subunit ribosomal RNA", at positions 338 to 682 of the family's 1533-position model. The record is from RNAcentral.